CGACGGGAGCUUGCUCCCUUAGGUCAGCGGCGGACGGGUGAGUAACACGUGGGUAACCUGCCUGUAAGACUGGGAUAACUCCGGGAAACCGGGGCUAAUACCGGAUGCUUGAUUGAACCGCAUGGUUCAAUCAUAAAAGGUGGCUUUUAGCUACCACUUACAGAUGGACCCGCGGCGCAUUAGCUAGUUGGUGAGGUAACGGCUCACCAAGGCGACGAUGCGUAGCCGACCUGAGAGGGUGAUCGGCCACACUGGGACUGAGACACGGCCCAGACUCCUACGGGAGGCAGCAGUAGGGAAUCUUCCGCAAUGGACGAAAGUCUGACGGAGCAACGCCGCGUGAGUGAUGAAGGUUUUCGGAUCGUAAAACUCUGUUGUUAGGGAAGAACAAGUACCGUUCGAAUAGGGCGGUACCUUGACGGUACCUAACCAGAAAGCCACGGCUAACUACGUGCCAGCAGCCGCGGUAAUACGUAGGUGGCAAGCGUUGUCCGGAAUUAUUGGGCGUAAAGCGCGCGCAGGCGGUUUCUUAAGUCUGAUGUGAAAGCCCCCGGCUCAACCGGGGAGGGUCAUUGGAAACUGGGGAACUUGAGUGCAGAAGAGGAGAGUGGAAUUCCACGUGUAGCGGUGAAUGCGUAGAGAUGUGGAGGAACACCAGUGGCGAAGGCGACUCUCUGGU
RNAcentral lists this ribosomal RNA (679 nucleotides) under uncultured Bacilli bacterium. RNAcentral describes it as "bacterial SSU rRNA". It matches the Rfam family "Bacterial small subunit ribosomal RNA", at positions 70 to 733 of the family's 1533-position model. The record is from RNAcentral. Lineage: Bacteria; Bacillati; Bacillota; Bacilli.